GUGCGCGUAGCUCAACUCGGAAAGAGCAGCAACCCACUAAGUUGUAGAUGCGAGUUCAAAUCCCGCCGCGCACU
RNAcentral lists this transfer RNA (74 nucleotides) under Microcaldota archaeon. Its description in RNAcentral is "tRNA-Ser". It matches the Rfam family "tRNA". From Rfam's summary of the family: Transfer RNA (tRNA) molecules are approximately 80 nucleotides in length. Their secondary structure includes four short double-helical elements and three loops (D, anti-codon, and T loops). Further hydrogen bonds mediate the characteristic L-shaped molecular structure. tRNAs have two regions of fundamental functional importance: the anti-codon, which is responsible for specific mRNA codon recognition, and the 3' end, to which the tRNAs corresponding amino acid is attached (by aminoacyl-tRNA synthetases). tRNAs cope with the degeneracy of the genetic code in two manners: having more than one tRNA (with a specific anti-codon) for a particular amino acid; and 'wobble' base-pairing, i.e. permitting non-standard base-pairing at the 3rd anti-codon position. Lineage: Archaea; Nanobdellati; Microcaldota. The record is from RNAcentral.